This is a non-coding RNA of Flavobacterium fontis, 398 nucleotides long. It matches the Rfam family "transfer-messenger RNA". Rfam says of the family: Bacterial tmRNA, also known as 10Sa RNA or SsrA, is named for its dual tRNA and mRNA-like properties. Its role is to liberate the mRNA from a stalled ribosome. Lineage: Bacteria; Pseudomonadati; Bacteroidota; Flavobacteriia; Flavobacteriales; Flavobacteriaceae. The record is from Rfam.
GGGGACGACUGGUUUUGACAGCGAGUGGAAUUAAAUAGUAAGCACGUCGAGCAUUGUACUUUUUGCUCGCUAAUCCAAAGGUACACACUUAUAAACGGCGAAAAUAAUUACGCUUUAGCUGCUUAAUCCGAAGUUUAGUACGAUUUGCCUAGUCUCGUCAAGGACGAGAAGCUAGAUUCACCUCAAAAGCCUUGGUUUAUGGCGGUUGGUUAAGGUGAACCGUAAAAGUAAACCUAGGAAAGGUAAUGCUUUAAAUCCUUUCUGACACUGAUUAAGCUAAGCAAAGAGUGGCUGUUCUUGGCCUUGCUCUUUGACGAAAAUCCAAUCAAGAACUAAACGUGUAGAAAGCUAUUCGAUUGCUUGUUUGGACCCGAGUUCGAUUCUCGGCGUCUCCACAA